UAUGAAAUUUGUCAUAAUUAUUUUUGAGCCGAAUAUCUAUAUACGAGGAUUAUACAUAUAAAAAAAAGAAGAAUAAAGGAUCAUUAAAUAGAAAAACAUCUGUUUCUGAAUUCGUAUAUUAGUUUGCAAUAAGUGUCAGGAUAGUUUCCACGUGUAUUAUAAAGCCAAAGGUGACGAUGAGUUAAAAGUAAAAUUUCCUCAAGAACUGAAGAUGUCUGAUCACGCGACGACAAACUAUACACCGAAUAGAACAAAACGAACAUAGCGAGUAAUCUCACCGACUGAUAAUUACAAUCAGCGAGUGCUCGUAAAAAUAUUGUUACAUAACGGCAAUAGCGGUAGCAGUACAGUAUAACAGUGACUACUAAACGGCAGCGGUAUAGUGAUCUACGCUUCGAAAACUGCGACGGAUAAUGGUUGUCUAUAUGAUUGCCAUGCUCGUAUAGAGUUAAGUGCACCUAUAUAAGGUCCAACACACGUACCUACAUAUAUAUAUAUAUAUAUAUAUAGAUAAACAGUAUAGAUUCCUCAAACAGAAAAUCAAAAAGCGAAAAUUUGAUAUGAAAUUAUCUGAUGGAUGCUAUAAAGAAACUGCUUAUUUCUGUCAACGAAAAAGUAAUAGAACGCUUCUAUAUACGUAAUGGCCAUUUGUCAUCUUAUAAUGCAUAUGAGAAAACUUUUUGUCACUAAUAAAAACUGAUUUACAAUCCUGCAUUUUCAAUCGCAGGGUAAAUAAAUUGCGCUAUGAAGAAAAUAUUCUACAUCCGACGGAACCUUUCAAUUAUGCGCUUAAUAAAAUAUAAAAGCAGAAAUAUAUAUCAAUCAAAUUAAUUUAUCAGAGUAAUUGCUGAUAGUCUACGUUAAUUUUAUGUAUUUUUUGUAGCCCUAUAAUUGUUAUAUACUGUUAGGCUUUGUUAUUUUCAAAUAAAUAAAUAAUAAUAUAGAAUAUUUUUGUUAAUUUAAUGCAUAUAUAAAAAAGCCUUAGCAAAAAUAAAAAU
Long non-coding RNA from Leptopilina boulardi, 998 nucleotides. RefSeq lists it as uncharacterized. The record is from RefSeq and is a predicted model, not a curated record. The transcript has 3 exons. NCBI's taxonomy places the organism in Eukaryota, Metazoa, Arthropoda, Insecta, Hymenoptera, Figitidae.